Long non-coding RNA from Lolium rigidum, 467 nucleotides. RefSeq lists it as uncharacterized. Lineage: Eukaryota; Viridiplantae; Streptophyta; Magnoliopsida; Poales; Poaceae. The transcript is spliced from 3 exons. The record is from RefSeq and is a predicted model, not a curated record.
AGAGGAGAUAACUUAACUCGAUGCAUAUCUGUCAUGAGGAGAAGAGAGAGGAAGCCUGCUAUUGUGAUUUUGCUUCAAUUGGAUUCCGACCAAGGUCACCAUGGAGGGAUCAAAAAACUGAGUGCUCAGGAGGUACCAGUUGGUCAACGAUAAUGAACCCCAAUUCAUGCACAUUCUAUUAUUGGUCCUUGUUCUCCAAGAUCCGCAAAGCAUGCACAAGAGGAUUCCGUCAAAAUCGAGGAGCGGGGAGCCAUCUUUCUGUAGCGCCGUAAGGACUUCCAAUGCCGAGGGCAUGGUUCCUGAGUUGUUCUCACUCAUCUCCCUGAUGGUAUCCAUCAGUUUGUGUUGGUCCUGGUGGCACCAUGUGUUGUACUUCUUGGGCCUCUUGGACCUCUUGGUGGAGGUGUCGUUGGUGUCGCCAUCCUCAGGUGAGUCACCGGGGUUGGUGUCGCCAUCCUCAGGUGAGU